GCUCAGACGAACGCUGGCGGCGUGCUUAACACAUGCAAGUCGAACGAUGAUCUCCCGCUUGCGGGGGUGAUUAGUGGCGAACGGGUGAGUAAUACGUGAGUAACCUGCCCUUGACUCUGGGAUAAGCCUGGGAAACCGGGUCUAAUACUGGAUACUACUCCUCAUCGCAUGGUGGGGGGUGGAAAGGGUUUUACUGGUUUUGGAUGGGCUCACGGCCUAUCAGCUUGUUGGUGGGGUAAUGGCUCACCAAGGCGACGACGGGUAGCCGGCCUGAGAGGGUGACCGGCCACACUGGGACUGAGACACGGCCCAGACUCCUACGGGAGGCAGCAGUGGGGAAUAUUGCACAAUGGGCGGAAGCCUGAUGCAGCGACGCCGCGUGAGGGAUGACGGCCUUCGGGUUGUAAACCUCUUUCAGCAGGGAAGAAGCCACAAGUGACGGUACCUGCAGAAGAAGCGCCGG
RNAcentral lists this ribosomal RNA (463 nucleotides) under bacterium mbm15. RNAcentral's name for it is "bacterial SSU rRNA". It matches the Rfam family "Bacterial small subunit ribosomal RNA", at positions 22 to 496 of the family's 1533-position model. The record is from RNAcentral.